Molecule: long non-coding RNA, 709 nt
Organism: Daphnia pulicaria
Lineage: Eukaryota; Metazoa; Arthropoda; Branchiopoda; Diplostraca; Daphniidae
Exons: 5
Source: RefSeq, a predicted model, not a curated record
AAUUGGCAUGACUACUAUAUGAGAAGUUAUGUCCUUCCAAGAAAAGGACUUACAGUCAACAAGAUUCCUUGUUUGCUAACCCGUUGGCUGCUACCCAUGAAUCUCCCUAUUUUUCAACAACAAAAAAAGAGGUUAAAUAUUGUGAUCAUGCUAUCAUCAUUAUGUUGCCUAUAAGACCAAAUGUGGGGCAUCUGGUUAUCCCUCCAAAAUAAGGCAAUGACCACACGUUCAACGCGGAUCAUUCGCUUUGUCAUCGAACUUGACUCAUUCCAUCUUCUGAAUUGCUUAGGAAAGCUGAUUGGUGUUACCUGUCCAUUUAGGUAAUGACCGAGAAGAUGCGGCCUACAUGAACAUCAUUCAGGCGGCCAGCAUCAUUCGACUACCCAACCGGCUUCUACUACCCUGCUCUCAACACAGCACGGAGUUUUACCCUUAGAUUUUUGGCUGUUCGCGAUGUGUGAUGGCGUUUCCUUGAACGAGAUGAUGAUUUUGGCGAGAAAAAUAUUGCGUUCUAACAUUCAGGUUCCUAAAUAUGAAAAGUAAUGUUCUUUCAAGAAAGUCAACGAGGUCCCUUACUCCCUUGUUUGCUAACCCAAUGGCUGCUACCCUUGAAUCUCCCUAUUUAGCUCCUUACACAGUCCCUCUUGAUUUGAGGGUAAUCCUUCGCUACUGAUCAUGGACUCCAUUGGUGAAACUGAAAACCGACGAG